UACGUAGGGGGUGAGCGUUGUCCGGAAUCAUUGGGCGUAAAGAGCGUGUAGGCGGGCCGGAAGGUCUGGUGUGAAAGCCCGGGGCUCAACCCCGGAGGGUCACCGGAAACCGACGGCCUUGAGUCCGGAAGAGGAGAGUGGAAUUCCUGGUGUAGCGGUGGAAUGCGCAGAUAUCAGGAGGAACACCAAUGGCGAAGGCAGCUCUCUGGUACGUGACUGACGCUGAGACGCGAAAGCGUGGGUAGCAAACAGGAUUAGAUACCCUGGUAGUCCACGCCGUAAACGAUGGGCGCUAGGUGUGGGAGGUGUCGACUCCUCCCGUGCCGAAGCUAACGCAUUAAGCGCCCCGCCUGGGGAGUACGGCCGCAAGGCUA
RNAcentral lists this ribosomal RNA (374 nucleotides) under uncultured Gaiellaceae bacterium. RNAcentral's name for it is "bacterial SSU rRNA". It matches the Rfam family "Bacterial small subunit ribosomal RNA", at positions 524 to 896 of the family's 1533-position model. The record is from RNAcentral. Lineage: Bacteria; Bacillati; Actinomycetota; Thermoleophilia; Gaiellales; Gaiellaceae.